Molecule: ribosomal RNA, 405 nt
Filed under: Mammaliicoccus lentus
Lineage: Bacteria; Bacillati; Bacillota; Bacilli; Caryophanales; Staphylococcaceae
Description: bacterial SSU rRNA
Rfam family: Bacterial small subunit ribosomal RNA
Source: RNAcentral
ACUGGAACGCUCUAGAGAUAGAGUUUUCCCCUUCGGGGGACAAAGUGACAGGUGGUGCAUGGUUGUCGUCAGCUCGUGUCGUGAGAUGUUGGGUUAAGUCCCGCAACGAGCGCAACCCUUAAGCUUAGUUGCCAUCAUUAAGUUGGGCACUCUAGGUUGACUGCCGGUGACAAACCGGAGGAAGGUGGGGAUGACGUCAAAUCAUCAUGCCCCUUAUGAUUUGGGCUACACACGUGCUACAAUGGAUAAUACAAAGGGCAGCGAACCCGCGAGGUCAAGCAAAUCCCAUAAAAUUAUUCUCAGUUCGGAUUGUAGUCUGCAACUCGACUACAUGAAGCUGGAAUCGCUAGUAAUCGUAGAUCAGCAUGCUACGGUGAAUACGUUCCCGGGUCUUGUACACACCGA